AUUCAGAUGACGAGCCCUAAACAGGACGAAACGCGUGUCCUGGAU
Molecule: non-coding RNA, 45 nt
Filed under: Schistosoma mansoni
Lineage: Eukaryota; Metazoa; Platyhelminthes; Trematoda; Strigeidida; Schistosomatidae
Source: RNAcentral